This 739-nucleotide long non-coding RNA is filed under the name Marmota monax (woodchuck). The record is from RNAcentral. Lineage: Eukaryota; Metazoa; Chordata; Mammalia; Rodentia; Sciuridae.
UAUUCCUGAAGCUGUAGAUCUGCGGGACUACAAGCCGCACGAACCUGGAACUCUAUGGGAACAAGGGGCUUCUGCCCCUGUAGCAGCCGGCCAAGUUCUGUCCAGUUCUUGUACCCGACAUCUCUGUCACAGCAGCUCCUGCAAUUCCUGGCAUAUAGAAUGUUUCACCACGAAGGUUUGUGGUUUCGGCGCGUUCACACAGACGUCCUCAGAGGCCCCGGCCCACCUCCUAAGGAACCACGGUGAUCACCUGAAGUUUUUCACAGAGUAAGUUUUACAUGCCCCACCCUGGUAUCUCUGUGUCCAACACCUGCUGGGUAUUCUGUACAUGAAUCAUGGUCCAGUAGUUUCUUCCGCCAUUUAAAAAAUAUUUAAAGGAAGCAUCAAAUAUUAUUUCUAUCGCACAAAGAAUCUAUUCGGCAUAGAUGUUCAGGGGACCAGGCAUCACCUUUACCAAUAUACCCUGGACAAAACUUGAUUUCAAGUAAAACCAGUCCUAUAAGUCCAAGUCUAGCCCUUGUUCUUAGAUUGGGAUUCCACGAAUGAAAACCUCUAAGUAGUUCUGGUGCGGAGCAAGAGCGGUGCACAAGCGGUGCACAAACGGUGCACAGCUCAAAAAAGUAUUUGUUGAAUGAAUCAAUGACACUUGGAAAAAUAUCUUUAAGAUAAUAAAUGGGUUUGAUUCAAAGUUCAAAGGAUACCGAACUACAUGUACGGGAGAGUGUUUUUCUUACUGCUU